GGGGAAUUUUGGACAAUGGGCGAAAGCCUGAUCCAGCAAUGCCGCGUGUGUGAAGAAGGCCUUCGGGUUGUAAAGCACUUUUGUCCGGAAAGAAAUCCUCUGGGUUAAUACCUCGGGGGGAUGACGGUACCGGAAGAAUAAGCACCGGCUAACUACGUGCCAGCAGCCGCGGUAAUACGUAGGGUGCAGGCGUUAAUCGGAAUUACUGGGCGUAAAGCGUGCGCAGGCGGUUUUGUAAGACGGAUGUGAAAUCCCCGGGCUUAACCUGGGAACUGCAUUCGUGACUGCAAGGCUAGAGUAUGGCAGAGGGGGUAGAAUUCCACGUGUAGCAGUGAAAUGCGUAGAGAUGUGGAGGAAUACCGAUGGCGAAGGCAGCCCCCUGGGCCAAUACUGACGCUCAUGCACGAAAGCGUGGGGAGCAAACA
Molecule: ribosomal RNA, 425 nt
Filed under: uncultured bacterium
Lineage: Bacteria
Description: bacterial SSU rRNA
Rfam family: Bacterial small subunit ribosomal RNA
Source: RNAcentral